Panicum virgatum (switchgrass) is the source of this 1672-nucleotide RNA transcript. RefSeq lists it as uncharacterized. NCBI's taxonomy places the organism in Eukaryota, Viridiplantae, Streptophyta, Magnoliopsida, Poales, Poaceae. The record is from RefSeq and is a predicted model, not a curated record. The transcript has 3 exons.
CGCUGCUACGCCCACGGCCUUCUCCUUCUCCCCCUCCCUGGUUCAGAUCCCCUUUUUGGGUACUCGGCGAUUCGGUCAAUUCGUGCUGCUGCAGCCGCAGAUCCACUCUUCUGUGUAUAGAUCCACCUGCACAGGCGGUGGCAAGUCGGGUUGCCCGAUGAGCAGAGGCGACACCCGUGGCCCAAAGCGGCAGCAGGGUGCGCUGGCGGCGCGACCCAUGGCACGACGGGACGCGCUUCCCCGAGGAGCGGCAGUGGUUGUGCUACUCGGUGGCUCCAACCCCUGAUGGUCCGUUGCGCUGCUUGUGGGGGUUGCUGGGCCACAACCGCCGUGCUCCUCCUCACCUCACCGGCCUAAUCCAGUGUUUGCAUUGAAGCCGCUUAUCGUUAUAUUUCUGAAUUAAAAACGAGUGUGGACAGACCUGCGGGGUAUACCAGUGUUUGAGGCCUUGUAGGCUUGCACUGAUGCAAAAUGAAAUGGAUGCUGUUGUUGAGGACUGAGCUGUGGGCUACCGUGGACAGAAUCUGCAGGCUGCCAUGCUCAAGCACGACGGGAAUGAUCCAUGGUGGGGCAUGUAGUUGGUAUUAGUUUUUAGUCUGAUAGUUGGGAUAGAUUGCUCUGAAAUGGAAGCAUAUUGAUUGAGGAAUAAGCAAAACCGUUGAACCAACCGUAGAGCUCGUUUCUAAUUUGGUCUAUGAAAGUAUAUUUGCUUUAUUACAUGGUAAUAUCUGUUGUUCAUUUUUUAGCAGUUAUGUUUCUGUUUUCUGAAGGUUUAUUCUAUGAUAUAUUACCAUAAGAUCUGUCUGUUUCAAGUUCGAACAACCAUUUAGCCAAGUAAAUUGUUUUUUCGGAUGGCUUCGUUGCUCAUGCAGUUGUAACUGAUCUAAAAUCUAUGAUGCAGUCUACCUCUAUUCUACCAUAAAAUCUAUUACUCAAUCGAUCGUGGUGUGUCUCCUGUCAACUAUUCUAGGGAGAACAUGCCUUCAGAACAAGCUUUUCCUUGUCCAAGCAAAGAGAUUGGAGGGUUUGGAGAAAGCAAGUAGAUUUUAAUCCACCUUGUUGCUUCGGUUAUGUAAUUCGAAACCAAUUGUCUAAUCACGUAGGGCAUAUAGGUGCUAGACUGCUAGUGCCACUCUGCUUGCGAGCUUGCUGCUCGUGGAACAUUAGUGAAAGUAACAAUAUUGGUCUCUACUAUUAUCUGCUCGCACGCUGAGAAUAAGGCUGGUGAUUAGUGAUUGCAGCCACAUAACUCCCUUGUUGCCUUCUUUUUAAUUGAUAAACAAAAUGUUUCAUAAGGUGCGUAUCUGUAUAUUGAGCAUAAUGGUAUCUUUGCAGGGCACCAUCUCUUAAGAGCCUUAGCCUCAUAUCUUGCUAUGAUGUCUCCAGUGAAGGGUUUGCAGAGGCAAUAGGAAGCUUCCUCUGCUCGAGGAGCUUUCACUUUCACUUUCUAGCAAUGUAUGUGGGCAGGAAGUGUUUGAGAUUGUUGGAAAAUCAUGUCCAUAACUCAAGCGCUUCAGACUCAGUAUUAUGGAUGUAAUAAAGGAAUUGAAGAAAUUUUAAUUUCUUUUUUGUUUUUUAAUUUCACAUACUUAACGGGUAUUACCAUAAUGCCCGUUACCUAUAAUUGUUGUUGGUAAUGGGUGUAUUGAUGCCCGUUACCGAUAUUCUAUUA